GACGAACGCUGGCGGCGUGCUUAACACAUGCAAGUCGAACGGAAAGGCCCUGCUUUUGUGGGGUGCUCGAGUGGCGAACGGGUGAGUAACACGUGAGUAACCUGCCCUUGACUUUGGGAUAACUUCAGGAAACUGGGGCUAAUACCGGAUAGGAGCUCCUGCUGCAUGGUGGGGGUUGGAAAGUUUCGGCGGUUGGGGAUGGACUCGCGGCUUAUCAGCUUGCUGGUGGGGUAGUGGCUUACCAAGGCUUUGACGGGUAGCCGGCCUGAGAGGGUGACCGGCCACAUUGGGACUGAGAUACGGCCCAGACUCCUACGGGGGGCAGCAGUGGGGAAUAUUGCACAGUGGGCGGAAGCCUGAUGCAGCAACGCCGCGUGCGGGAUGACGGCCUUCGGGUUGUAAACCGCUUUCGCCUGUGACGAAGCGUGAGUGACGGUAAUGGGUAAAGAAGCACCGGCUAACUACGUG
RNAcentral lists this ribosomal RNA (468 nucleotides) under uncultured bacterium. Its description in RNAcentral is "partial 16S ribosomal RNA". It matches the Rfam family "Bacterial small subunit ribosomal RNA", at positions 28 to 507 of the family's 1533-position model. The record is from RNAcentral.